RNAcentral lists this ribosomal RNA (250 nucleotides) under uncultured bacterium. Its description in RNAcentral is "partial 16S ribosomal RNA". It matches the Rfam family "Bacterial small subunit ribosomal RNA", at positions 73 to 334 of the family's 1533-position model. The record is from RNAcentral.
AAAGCCUUCGGGUGAGUACAGCGGCGGACGGGUGAGUAACACGUAGGAAUUCGCCCAGUAGUGGGGGAUAACGUUUCGAAAGGAACGCUAAUACCGCAUACGCCCUACGGGGGAAAGGGGGCUUCGGCUCUCGCUAUUGGAGAAGCCUGCGUCGGAUUAGCUAGUUGGUGGGGUAAAGGCCUACCAAGGCGACGAUCCGUAGCUGGUCUGAGAGGAUGAUCAGCCACAUCGGGACUGAGACACGGCCCGA